RNAcentral lists this ribosomal RNA (178 nucleotides) under uncultured Flavobacterium sp. RNAcentral's name for it is "16S ribosomal RNA". It matches the Rfam family "Bacterial small subunit ribosomal RNA", at positions 337 to 512 of the family's 1533-position model. Lineage: Bacteria; Pseudomonadati; Bacteroidota; Flavobacteriia; Flavobacteriales; Flavobacteriaceae. The record is from RNAcentral.
UCCUACGGGAGGCAGCAGUGAGGAAUAUUGGACAAUGGGCGCAAGCCUGAUCCAGCCAUGCCGCGUGCAGGAUGACGGUCCUAUGGAUUGUAAACUGCUUUUGUACAGGAAGAAACAGUUCUACGUGUAGAACCUUGACGGUACUGUAAGAAUAAGGAUCGGCUAACUCCGUGCCAGC